UUUAAUCAUGGGUUAGUUUAGGGGAGGUAUGUUUAAUUACGCUAAAAUGAUAGGAUUUAUUGUAUUUUUACCAAAUUUCAAGAGAAAUCAGUUUUAUUAUUAUUAUUUUUGUUAUUCCACUAUCUCCUCUUCUUCUUUUUAAGUCAAUUAAUAGAAAAUAAUUUGCAAAUAUCAAGAGGCAGACAUUUAUCAUUUCACUAUGUAAAAAAGUUUUACCACUUUAUGUGCUUAAAAAAAUAAAAAAACUAAAAAAACCAACUUUUGACAAAGAGAUCAAUCAAAGCCAUCUGUCUAAUGAAAUUUCUUGUUUUCAAUUUUAUAUAGCUACACAAUCAAGUAUUCAAAAACUAGGUAUCGUUUGACGUAUGCAACUGUACUGGGAGCAGGGCACUCACCUCAAGAGUACAAGCGUAGAGAAUGUUAUGAGAUGUACCAAAGGUGGAUCCAUUACUAUCCUCUCUAGUAGUUUCUUUAAGCCAAUAUUUUUGUGAGAUGUUCCAGAACUUAUUACAAUACCAUCCUCUCUUAGUGAACUUUUGUGAAUCUAAUUGUAUUCAAAUUUUCUUCCUUCCAAUGGUUCAUUGUCAUAAUUAACUUGUA
This is a non-coding RNA of Camellia sinensis, 600 nucleotides long. The record is from RefSeq and is a predicted model, not a curated record. Lineage: Eukaryota; Viridiplantae; Streptophyta; Magnoliopsida; Ericales; Theaceae.